This is a non-coding RNA of Colletotrichum higginsianum, 89 nucleotides long. The record is from Rfam. Lineage: Eukaryota; Fungi; Ascomycota; Sordariomycetes; Glomerellales; Glomerellaceae.
GGUCUAUUAGUCUAGUUGGUUAGGACGUCGGAUUCUGAUGUAACAAUCAUAUCCUUCCGUAGGCCCAGGUUCGAAUCCUGGAUGGACCU